RNAcentral lists this ribosomal RNA (483 nucleotides) under Variovorax sp. CL3.101. Its description in RNAcentral is "bacterial SSU rRNA". It matches the Rfam family "Bacterial small subunit ribosomal RNA", at positions 22 to 500 of the family's 1533-position model. The record is from RNAcentral. Lineage: Bacteria; Pseudomonadati; Pseudomonadota; Betaproteobacteria; Burkholderiales; Comamonadaceae.
GCUCAGAUUGAACGCUGGCGGCAUGCCUUACACAUGCAAGUCGAAAGGCAGCACGGGAGCAAUCCUGGUGGCGAGUGGCGAACGGGUGAGUAAUACAUCGGAACGUGCCCAAUCGUGGGGGAUAACGCAGCGAAAGCUGUGCUAAUACCGCAUAAGAUCUACGGAUGAAAGCAGGGGAUCGCAAGACCUUGCGCGAAUGGAGCGGCCGAUGGCAGAUUAGGUAGUUGGUGAGGUAAAGGCUCACCAAGCCUUCGAUCUGUAGCUGGUCUGAGAGGACGACCAGCCACACUGGGACUGAGACACGGCCCAGACUCCUACGGGAGGCAGCAGUGGGGAAUUUUGGACAAUGGGCGCAAGCCUGAUCCAGCCAUGCCGCGUGCAGGAUGAAGGCCUUCGGGUUGUAAACUGCUUUUGUACGGAACGAAACGGUCCCUUCUAAUACAGGGGGCUAAUGACGGUACCGUAAGAAUAAGCACCGGCUAA